Molecule: ribosomal RNA, 501 nt
Filed under: uncultured bacterium
Lineage: Bacteria
Description: partial 16S ribosomal RNA
Rfam family: Bacterial small subunit ribosomal RNA
Source: RNAcentral
AUUGAACGCUGGCGGCAUGCCUUACACAUGCAAGUCGAACGGCAGCACGGGUGCCUGCACCUGGUGGCGAGUGGCGAACGGGUGAGUAAUACAUCGGAACGUACCUUAUCGUGGGGGAUAACGCAGCGAAAGUUGCACUAAUACCGCAUAAGCCCUGAGGGGGAAAGCGGGGGACCGUAAGGCCUCGCGCGAUUAGAGCGGCCGAUGUCUGAUUAGCUUGUUGGUGAGGUAAAAGCUCACCAAGGCGAUGAUCAGUAGCUGGUCUGAGAGGACGAUCAGCCACACUGGGACUGAGACACGGCCCAGACUCCUACGGGAGGCAGCAGUGGGGAAUUUUGGACAAUGGGGGCAACCCUGAUCCAGCAAUGCCGCGUGAGUGAAGAAGGCCUUCGGGUUGUAAAGCUCUUUUGUCAGGGAAGAAACAGCAGCUCUAACACAGUCUGCGAAUGACGGUACCUGAAGAAUAAGCACCGGCUAACUACGUGCCAGCAGCCGCGGUAA